UAUUGCUAGUUGAAAACUUUAACCAAUACCCCGCCAUGGGGACGUGAAAUACCGUCCACUACGGCAAUUUUUGCAAGCCCGAGAGGGC
This 88-nucleotide small nuclear RNA is filed under the name Musca domestica (house fly). Its description in RNAcentral is "U4 spliceosomal RNA". It matches the Rfam family "U4 spliceosomal RNA", at positions 53 to 138 of the family's 138-position model. Rfam says of the family: U4 small nuclear RNA (U4 snRNA) is a component of the major U2-dependent spliceosome. The structure of U4 snRNA from yeast and human has been reported. U4 snRNA presents a k-turn RNA motif in the 5p-SL related to recognition of Snu13 protein. The record is from Rfam by way of RNAcentral. Lineage: Eukaryota; Metazoa; Arthropoda; Insecta; Diptera; Muscidae.